AUUGAACGCUGGCGGCAGGCCUAACACAUGCAAGUCUAACGAGUGGCGGACGGGUGAGUAAUGUCUGGGAAACUGCCUGAUGGAGGGGGAUAACUACUGGAAACGGUAGCUAAUACCGCAUACCAUCGGAUGUGCCCAGAUGGGAUUAGCUAGUAGGUGGGGUAAAGGCUCACCUAGGCGACGAUCCCUAGCUGGGCUGAGAGGAUGACCAGCCACACUGGAACGGAGACACGGUCCAGACUCCUACGUGAGGCAGCAGUGGGGAAUAUUGCACAAUGGGCGCAAGCCUGAUGCAGCCAUGCCGCGUGUAUGAAGAAGGCCUUCGGGUUGGAAAGUACUUGCAGCGGGGAGGCGUUACCCGCAGAAGAAGCACCGGCUAACUCCGUGCCAGCAGCCGCGGUAAUAG
Molecule: ribosomal RNA, 406 nt
Filed under: uncultured bacterium
Lineage: Bacteria
Description: partial 16S ribosomal RNA
Rfam family: Bacterial small subunit ribosomal RNA
Source: RNAcentral